GUAGGUGGCAAGCGUUGUCCGGAAUUAUUGGGCGUAAAGCGCGCGCAGGCGGUUCGUUUAAGUCUGAUGUGAAAGCCCACGGGCUCAACCGUGGAGGGUCAUUGGAAACUGGAGAACUUGAGUACAGAAGAGGAAAGCGGAAUUCCACGUGUAGCGGUGAAAUGCGUAGGGAUGUGGAGGAACACCAGUGGCGAAGGCGGCUUUCUGGUCUGUAACUGACGCUGAGGCGCGAAAGCGUGGGGAGCAAACAGGAUUAGACACCCUGGUAGUCCACGCCGUAAACGAUGAGUGCUAAGUGUUAGGGGGGUUUCCGCCCCUUAGUGCUGCAGCUAACGCAUUAAGCACUCCGCCUGGGGAGUACGGCCGCAAAGGCUG
RNAcentral lists this ribosomal RNA (375 nucleotides) under uncultured organism. Its description in RNAcentral is "partial 16S ribosomal RNA". It matches the Rfam family "Bacterial small subunit ribosomal RNA", at positions 527 to 896 of the family's 1533-position model. The record is from RNAcentral.